RNAcentral lists this ribosomal RNA (254 nucleotides) under uncultured bacterium. RNAcentral's name for it is "partial 16S ribosomal RNA". It matches the Rfam family "Archaeal small subunit ribosomal RNA", at positions 474 to 727 of the family's 1478-position model. The record is from RNAcentral. RNAcentral also lists the same sequence under 1 other name.
CACCGGCGGCCCGAGUGGUGGCCACUAUUAUUGGGUCUAAAGGGUCCGUAGCCGGUUUGGUCAGUCUUCCGGGAAAUCUGACGGCUUAACCGUUAGGCUUUCGGGGGAUACUACCAGGCUUGGGACCGGGAGAGGUAAGAGGUACUACGGGGGUAGGAGUGAAAUCUUGUAAUCCCUGUGGGACCACCAGUGGCGAAGGCGUCUUACCAGAACGGGUCCGACGGUGAGGGACGAAAGCUGGGGGCACGAACCGG